CCCUAUGGGGUGCAGCAGGCGCGAAACCUUUACAAUGCACGAAAGUGUGAUAAGGGAAUUCCAAGUGUGCAUAUACCAUAUGCACUUUUCUUUAGUGUAAAAAGCUAGGGGAAUAAGGGGUGGGUAAGACUAGUGCCAGCCGCCGCGGUAAAACUAGCAUCCCAAGUGGCAGUCACCAUUACUGGGCUUAAAGCGUUCGUAGCUUGUUUGGAAAGUCUCUGCUGAAAUCCUGCGGCUUAACCGUAGGGCUUGGCGGAGAAACUCUCAGACUUGAGGACAGGAGAGGUUAGGGGUACUUCUGGGGUAAGGGUGAAAUCUUAUAAUCCUAGAAGGACCAACAGUGGCGAAGGCGCCUAACAUGAAUGUGCCUGACAGUGAGGAACGAGAGCCAGGGUCGCGAAACGGAUUAGAUACCCGUGUAGUCCUGGCCGUAAACGAUGCUGACUAGGUGGGGUGUGUUCUUAGUGAACAUGCUAUGCCGAAGGGAAACCGUUAAGUCAGCCGCCUGGGGAGUACGUUCGCAAGAAUGAAACUUAAAGGAAUUGGCGGGGGAGCACUACAAGGGGUGGAAGCUGCGGUUUAAUUAGAUUCAACGCUGGACAUCUCACCGGAGGCGACAGCAGAAUGAAGGCCAGACUGAUGGUCUUGCCGAACACGCUGAGAGGUGGUGCAUGGGCC
This 678-nucleotide ribosomal RNA is filed under the name uncultured archaeon. RNAcentral's name for it is "bacterial SSU rRNA". It matches the Rfam family "Archaeal small subunit ribosomal RNA", at positions 321 to 1000 of the family's 1478-position model. The record is from RNAcentral.